GUGUGGUGAUCCUGGCACACGCAGGGUAAGGUGCCGCCCAGGAAGAAAGGCUGUGUGGUCCAUCAGUUGAAGCCCCCAAGGUGGCUCCAGCCUAGUUUCAUUUCCUCCAACUCGCUCCAUGAUCUUGGGCCAAAUCCCUUUUACCUGUCUGCACCUCCAUCUCCCCGUCUGUAAAAGGAGAUGAUUCUUCUACCAUCCCGAGGGUUGCUGUGAAGAUAAAACAAACACGCGCUCAGGCAGUGGAGCCCCGAUUGAUGGUGGUGGUGCCUCUCAUCCCCGGUUCCCCCACCUGCCCGUCAUCCAUGUCAGCAACCUCAGGCUCUGCUCUGGGGGACAGAGGCGGACGCAGUCCAUUUUCCCCCGGGAGCCACCACCUUGAACUCCUGUUCCCUGGAGCAAUGACUAACCCCGAGGGACUGAAGCCGAACUCCGGGUCCCCAUCAACACCACCCCGGGGCCCGGGCAGCUCCUGUGUCCCAGUCCUGCAGCCGGCCCUGCCGGCUCCUGCCAUUUGGCCGCAGCUCCUGAACUCGUGAGAGUGUGGUGUUUUGGUUUUGCAGCGAGAAGGAAAAAAUUAAAGGCCGGGUGUGGGGACAGGAGAGGAAGAAGGAGGAGGAGGGAGAAACCCUUGAGCGGCCUGGGCCGGCCAGUUCCAGGAAUGCGUUCUCGGACAUCAGUGCCAAAGCAGUGACCCAGGCGGGGCGGCCAGGCCGGGAGAAGGGAGAGGCCGGCUCCAGGGCGAGAGCUUGCCUCUUCCCCACCCCCCUAACCCUCCCACCCUGGCUGCCUCUGCUGACUCAUCGCCGCUCCAGCUGGCAGGAGCCUUUUCUGGGGAUGGCUGUUGCUAAGAUUCCUCGGACAUGACUGAUUACUUCUCCUCGAGCCUGGUGAAAACAUGUUUGUAGAUUGCACGCAAACACACGCACCCGCUCCUGCGGAUACCUGCCCACGUGGGUUUUGUGCCCAAGUGUGUGUCUUCUUCACCCAGGUCACCAGACAUGCCUCCUGUUGUUCCCCAAGAUUCCCUGACACUUAGCUUAGCUGCUAAGCCCUAGGGUCCUGAAGAAGGGCGCAGACACGCCAGGUUUCCCCCACCCCGGCCAGUAAUUCAGGCAGUGGGGCGGCCGCCAGUGUCUGGGCCUGCUUUAAUCUGAAGGAGUUUUCAGGUUGCCUUGAACACAUUCUUGGCCUCUGUCCCUCCUCCCCUCCCUGGGUUGCUCGGUGGCCUUCAUUCUGCUGUAAUGAUCUAAUCUUCCCUUCUCCCUCUGCCUGCCAGUUUUUUUGAUGUUUGCUGUUCCAGGCACUCAGCUGGGAGCUGGAAUGUUCUAGAGCUGGAUUCCUGGCCUGGACCUGACGCCCCAGGGGGCUCCUGGCGGUGGGGGAGUGGGGAGAGCUGCCCAGUGGCUCUGUUGCCCUGGAGAGGGGGUACCGCAGUGAGGAUUCAUGGAUGACAAGUGCUCGGUCUUUCUCUGGGCUCUGCCGGGCCCCAGAGUCUUGGCUGGGGGGGUCCAAGGGCUCGGAGCGGGGGGAUGUCAGCGUGCAGCCGUGGACACCCAGCCUCUGGUUGCCAGCGCCGCGUAUGAGCUUGGUCACCUUGGGCUCUUGCUGCCUUGGUUUCCCCACCCGCUGGGCUGAAAUUGGACUCCUUGAGGAGCCUGCCAGGGUUUUACCAUGACAGGGCUUGGCAGGGUGCUUGGGCACCAGGCAAGGUUGUUUGUCACGGGUUCUCGCCGGGGUGGAGGGGCAGGCGGGCCCGUGCCAGCACGGAGCCCACGCGCUUCCUCUCGCCAGCUCUGCUGGGCUCAGGCUCAAGUGUGGCUUCUUUACAGGGACCCACCCCGGGGGCCCAGAUCCCAUGAGCAGGCGCUCUCAGCCGUGAUUUAGUGGCGGUUGCUAAGGAAGGCCUGGUACCCAGCCUGGAGGGUUGAGCUGUGGCCAACCUGGAUUCGGUAGGCGAGGCGAGGCUCCCGCCAGCCGCAGGAAAAAUCCUCUUUUCUGAGCUCAGGGUCCUCUGGCCUAAGAUGAAGACAAGGCCGGGUUCACGGCUCCUGCUGAUUUUGACAUGAGAUGAUGCAGGGCAGGAGUGGAAAUGAAGAGUAAAGCAACGACAAGAUGUAAAACGGGCUUUAGGCAUCAGUCUGUUGCCUAAUGCUCCUGGCAGCGGGACCCGUCUACUCCAGGGACCACUGCUGGGACCCCAGAGUUCAGCCUCUGGGCUUCCAGGCACAUGAGCUUCCUUUUUGACUGUUUUACUCUGUAAUUCCCAAACCUGACAACCCAGAUAGAAGCUCUAGCCCCCUCCUGGUGAGAGUAAGGCUAGCAAGCCGGGUGCUGGCUUUGUCCAGUGCGGCUGCAGUUGGGGGUGUGGGCCAGCUAUUUUCCAGAUAAAGGAAACAGAGGUGCAGAAAUGUAAAGAGAAUGAGAUUGUUAGUCGCUCAGUCAUGUCCGACUCUUUGCGACCCCAGGGCAUGUAGCCUGCCAGACUCCUCUGUCCAUGGAGGAAGAGGAGUAUUUUCUCCAAGGAGUAUAUAUCUCCAAGCAAGAAUACUGGAGUGGGUUGCCAUUCCCUUCUCCAGAGCAUCUUCCUGACCCAGGGAUUGAACCCGGGUCUCCUGCAUUGCAGGCGGAUUCUUCACCGUCUGAGCCACCAGGGAAGCCCAGAGUUGUAAAGAAGCAUCUAGUAAGUAAUAGGGCCAGGAUUCCAGCCACAGAAGUUUGUCUCCAGAGCCCAGACCUUAACCACGUCCCUUAUCGUCUCCCCGUAACUGUCAUGUCCCAGGAUGGCAAAGCAACACCAGGCGCUUUCACCUUCCCCGCUGUUGCCAUGGGCAGAACAGAAAACUGUUCCCAUAGUCCGUUUCCAGCUCGGCUUCAGCCUCUGCCCUCCGGGGAGCCCACAGAUUGGUGUCUCGUGAGAUGAGCGUCAUGGCCAGUUUUAUUACUUCGUUCGCUGCUGAAUGACCUGAGGCAGAGUGACCUUCAGCCGCUUGGACUGUCUCCUCCCCUUCUGUAUCGUAGGCUUAUGGGACUCCUGGCUUCCUUUGUUGUUCUGACAUGCAACAGAUCUUAGAAAUGCCUUCUUCUAGCACAAAGUUACAGAUGCUACCGAUGUGCCUGCUCUCAGACGCGCAGACACAGGUACACACAUGUGCAGAGACACAUAAAGGAGCAAAGUCUUAAACAGACCCUGCGGGAUCAGUCAGGCUUCUGGGAGUCUUGUGUGUUUGUUGCAUUUUCUGCGCUAGGAAUGAUCAGGGAGCAGCUGUGAGCAAACACUGACUAGCUGGGCUCUCACACACUUGUAGUUAUCACGAGCUUUUUCAGCCAGUGCUGCACACACACAGACACACACACAUGUUCUUGUUCCUGAGUCUUGUCUUCCUGUCUAGACCCAGACCAUAACGCAUUUGGGAGCAGGAUGCAUCCCCAGUACUGCUUGCCAUGGUGCAGCCUCCAUUGGGUGAUCAGUUUGUCUUUGUGCUUUGAUGGGUAAAGGAAGGACAGUGGGUGAUUUAUGCUAACAGAAUUUUUUAGUUCGAUGCAUCCACCACCCUUCUGAUACCUUCAGUAGCCAGUACCGGGACCAAAUCCCUCAUCCCUCUAUCUAAGCAGGCUUCUCACUCAGCUCCCCCACGCCGACCUCCCAGUGCCUGCAAAGGGUGCAUCCUGCAUCCCUUUGACCUCUACCCAUCCCCUCCCUUCCUUUUCCAUUUCACACACAGGGCUUUGAGUCAGUCACACACAUACUGCCUUCUUCUCCCCCUCAACCCCUUUGAUUUUCCUGUCCGGGGAAGAGCUAGGUGGAGGCCUCUGCAUGGCUGUCAGAAACAAAAAGGCUUGGAGCUGAAGGGGCUGAGCCCCAGGCCUGUGGGAGACACCCGGUGAGAGCCUGUGUUCAGUCGCUCAGUUGUGUCUGACUCUUUGCGACCCCAUGGACCUUAGCCCACCAGGCUCCUCGGUCCACGGGGAUAUUCCAGGCCACCCCAUGAAUGCAGUGAAAGGAAUACUGGGGUGGGCUGCCAUUUCCUACUCCAGGGGAUCUUCCCGACCCAGGGAUUGAACCUGCACCCACUCCUCCUCAUUUAGACAUUCCCUCCCUUGAAGCCCGCCUGGGGAACCGGAAGUACCAGAACUGUAACCGGACCCCUGGGAGCCGCAGGGUUAGCCUGUGGCAGUCUUCAGGAGGGUGGGGCCUGAGGAAAUUAAAAUGCUCCGAGUCCUGCUGCAAUACCCAGGGCCUCCAGUGCGUGGCGCCUCGGGGUUUAGAGGCUGGAAUGAGUGAGUGAAGUCGCUCAGUCGUGUCCGACUCUUUGCGACCCCAUGGACCGUAGCCCAACAGGCUCCUCUGUCCACAGGAUUUUCCAGGCAAGAGUACUGGAGUGGAUUGCCAUUUUAGGGGAAGGAGAAGGGGCAUGAGCUGCCCACCUCAAACAUCCCAUGUAUAUGGUCGUCUGAAGCACUGGAAGGGCUCUGACCGGGCUAAGAGGUUCUUACUCCUCUGGACCUACCUGCACAAUGGUUCUCUGCCUGGCAUGAGUUUGUCCCCCAGAGACAUGUGGCAACGUUGGGGACAUUUUUCGUUGACACAGAUAGAGGGAGUGCUACUGGCAUCUCGUGGGCAGAGGAUGCUGGUAAACGCCGUGCGAUGCACAGGGCAGCUCAUGAUUUGCGAUGCGGUGGAGAAGCCCUGCUGUGGCUUAUUGGUUCUGGCCACUGUCUCUGUGAUUUCUCUAAUAGCAUCUCUCCCCAUUUCCAACUCGGGAUUUCCAGUCCACCGUGGGCUGGGAACCUGAUUAGUCAAGCUCGCUAGUGGGACAGGCUGGGGCCCGGGACCCUUUGCUGCCAUGCUGCAG
Molecule: long non-coding RNA, 4853 nt
Organism: Bos taurus (domestic cattle)
Lineage: Eukaryota; Metazoa; Chordata; Mammalia; Artiodactyla; Bovidae
Source: Ensembl